RNAcentral lists this ribosomal RNA (769 nucleotides) under uncultured bacterium. Its description in RNAcentral is "bacterial SSU rRNA". It matches the Rfam family "Bacterial small subunit ribosomal RNA", at positions 28 to 776 of the family's 1533-position model. The record is from RNAcentral.
AUUGAACGCUGGCGGCAGGCCUAACACAUGCAAGUCGAGCGGCAGCGACUUAACUGAACCUUCGGGGAACGUUAAGGGCGGCGAGCGGCGGACGGGUGAGUAAUGCCUGGGAAUAUGCCCUGAUGUGGGGGAUAACUAUUGGAAACGAUAGCUAAUACCGCAUAAUCUCUUCGGAGCAAAGAGGGGGACCUUCGGGCCUCUCGCGUCAGGAUUAGCCCAGGUGGGAUUAGCUUGUUGGUGAGGUAAUGGCUCACCAAGGCAACGAUCCCUAGCUGGUCUGAGAGGAUGAUCAGCCACACUGGAACUGAGACACGGUCCAGACUCCUACGGGAGGCAGCAGUGGGGAAUAUUGCACAAUGGGGGAAACCCUGAUGCAGCCAUGCCGCGUGUGUGAAGAAGGCCUUCGGGUUGUAAAGCACUUUCAGUAGGGAGGAAGGUAGUGUAGUUAACACCUGCAUUAUUUGACGUUACCUACAGAAGAAGCACCGGCUAACUCCGUGCCAGCAGCCGCGGUAAUACGGAGGGUGCGAGCGUUAAUCGGAAUUACUGGGCGUAAAGCGCAUGCAGGCGGCCUGUUAAGUCAGAUGUGAAAGCCCGGGGCUUAACCUCGGAAUUGCAUUUGAAACUGGCAGGCUAGAGUCUUGUAGAGGGGGGUAGAAUUUCAGGUGUAGCGGUGAAAUGCGUGGAGAUCUGAAGGAAUACCAGUGGCGAAGGCGGCCCCCUGGACAAAGACUGACGCUCAGAUGCGAAAGCGUGGGGAGCAAACAGG